Long non-coding RNA from Bicyclus anynana (squinting bush brown), 1466 nucleotides. RefSeq lists it as uncharacterized. The transcript has 2 exons. The record is from RefSeq and is a predicted model, not a curated record. Lineage: Eukaryota; Metazoa; Arthropoda; Insecta; Lepidoptera; Nymphalidae.
UAGCUUGGCAACAUCUCAAGUGACAGUAAUACGAAAUUUAAAAAGAAAAUUAAGUAAUCGGUGUACAUACAUAUAAAAAAAAAUAAUACCGACCGAAUUGAGAACCUCCUCCUUUUUGAAGUCGGUUAAUUAAAAACUACUUUUUAUCACUUUACUCGGUUUAAUAACAUCACAUUAACGUUAGUUUCUCCAUUUUUAGUUUUUGAAAUAUUAUUUUUAUGUCUGUUCUAAUAAUUUUUAUUCUUAGUUUCUUUUCCUUUUGUGUUAUUUGUGUUUUUACUUGGUUUUGUUUUUCUUUAAUUUGUUAAAUUAAUAAUAGUUAAAAUAAGCAUGUUAUCACUACCUAUAAGUAGAUUUACAAUUAUACCUCUAUUAAUUUAGUUCUUGUUAAUAUAUGUAUUUGUAUUUAAUUGUAAUCUGUUGGUGUCCAAAUAAAAAAAAACUUCGUUCGUAACACUCCCGAUGUGUCGCGCGGGCCGGAGGGCGUGUAGCGAUGAAUGAAAAACUCACGGCUGAUGCACGUCACUUCCCCGCACGCACCAUUUCACACCCACGCAGUCUGCCCCUGUCUCCCGCAUAUCAUGGGAGUGUUAUCAACGAACUUGCCCGACUAUAGUUGUUUGAACGCCUUACUGACGGAGGUAUAGUAAGAGAUCCGGCAUAACAAUUAUAUACCCUCAUCUGUUAUUUAUCUGGGAUAAGAAAUAAAUGAUAGAUAAUAUUGUCAUUGACACAUUGCACAUAGGUUGCCUACACACAACUGUUAAAUUGCGGCUGGUUAUUAUAAAAUGAUUUUUUCACUACUCUUGCUCAAAAACACUGUCAUAUUACCACUCCACAGCGGGGCUAAACAAGAAUAUUAGCCUCUAGGGGCUAAAGUAAUUUUGUUUUUUUAAUUCUUGUCUGUUACGAGUACUAGCCAAGUACUAGCCUACUAUAAAACGGAGGAGGUUUUAUUCGAAAGUAGAAUCAUUAUAGGUAAGGCGCCGAUUGUUUUGAAAAAUAAAUAAAAACUUUAAAUUGGAAUGAAAUGCACCGUUCUUGUCUGUGGAAUGCGUUUAUUUUUUUAUUUAAUUUUAUUGAGUUGCGAAUAGAGCGAGAUUUGAAGACAUGGGACAUCCUUUACGGUGUAAUACCUUUGCCUUUUCCUCAUGUCAAAAAAAUAAAAUUAAAAAGCGAGAAUUUAAAAAACAAUUGGCGUGAAUAACUUCUUCACUUGAUUUUUUUCAGAAAUUCAUUGUAAAUUUGUGACCGUAACUUACAUAUUUUUCAACAAUAACUGCUAUUGUGUUCUUCAUCUAGUGAGAAUGGUAAUCUUAAUUUGGAGAUGGAUGAAAUUUUCAAUCUGUUACCAUCAAAGUCGAGACGCAUUUACUUAAAUACUUACUUACGAUACCUACGAAUACCUACGAAAAAUUUAAUAAGUGGAGAAAACAACAACGAAUGGAUUUACUUACGAAAGGAGU